ACACAUGACUUCUGAAUAACCAAGUUGUUAGUAAGAGAAAAGGACUAUUUAAUCUUAAAUCAGGAAUGAUAAAGAGAAGGGUAAAGAAUAGGCUAAUAGAUGCUAUGAACAACUAUUUGAGUGUCUGCUCAUUUCGCAGAACAAAAUAAAACUCACUAAGCUGAGAAGGAGUCAUAGACAAUAAGUAAACAAGUCACAGAGGAAAUGGAUAAUUAUUAAAUACAACAAAAUUGUUUAAUGUGUAUGUCUAAGAGUAUGUUUUUCCUAUUUUUAUAAAACUGCCAGUAAGAAAAGGAAGAAAAAUCCACGUUAAUUCAUCAUAUAUUCUGAUACACUUCAGCUGUGGAUUAAAGGAACCAUGCCAGUUGCUGCAACUCCAGACAGAGAGCAAAGGAAUCAUAUACGAGGCCCCUGGGUUUAUAGAAGUCUAUCAAUCACCCUGUCGGUCUUCCGGAUCAUUAUUCAAGUUGCUAUACCCAAUUUUGCUGGAUAUAUCAGAUCAACUCCAGCUCCAUAGAUGGACAGUGUGUUUUCUUCCUAUUUUUAAAAACAGAAAGGUGGAAAAUUGGUGAAUAUUAUGAGGACACACUGGGAAGUACAUUGUUACUAUGGCAAUAAAAAACAGAACAAAUGCC
RNAcentral lists this long non-coding RNA (635 nucleotides) under Bos taurus (domestic cattle). RNAcentral describes it as "long non-coding RNA NONBTAT022474". Lineage: Eukaryota; Metazoa; Chordata; Mammalia; Artiodactyla; Bovidae. The record is from RNAcentral.